Molecule: ribosomal RNA, 406 nt
Filed under: uncultured prokaryote
Also listed under: 1 other name
Description: bacterial SSU rRNA
Rfam family: Bacterial small subunit ribosomal RNA
Source: RNAcentral
UGGGGAAUAUUGGGCAAUGGGGGGAACCCUGACCCAGCAACGCCGCGUGAAGGAAGAAGGUUUUCGGAUUGUAAACUUCUGUCCUUGGUGAAGAGGAAGAGACGGUAGCCAAGGAGGAAGCCCCGGCUAACUACGUGCCAGCAGCCGCGGUAAUACGUAGGGGGCAAGCGUUGUCCGGAAUGAUUGGGCGUAAAGGGCGCGUAGGCGGCUCGGUAAGUCUGGAGGGAAAUUCCUGCUUUCAAGGUGGGAACUGCUUUGGAUACUGUCGGGCUUGGGUGCAGGAGAGGUAAGGGGGAUUCCCGGUGUAGCGGUUAAAUGCGUAGGGAUCGGGAGGAACACCAGUGGCGAAGGCGACUUACUGGACUGUAACUGACGCUGAGGCGCGAAAGUGUGGGGGGCGAACAGG